Molecule: long non-coding RNA, 628 nt
Organism: Zalophus californianus (California sea lion)
Lineage: Eukaryota; Metazoa; Chordata; Mammalia; Carnivora; Otariidae
Exons: 3
Source: RefSeq, a predicted model, not a curated record
AGAGAGCGAUUCCCGCAGUGUGUGUACACAUCCUGCUCCCCAGCUAGCUCCCCAACCCUCCCCCCAUCCCCACAAACAGCAAGGCUGGACAGGCAAAGGGGCAAGAAGGAAAGUGCUCUUCUCCCCACUCCUCUCUCUUCCCCCACAUCCCUGAGUCUAUUAUUCAAGCUCCUAGGCUUCCUUUUAUAACACCCCCCCCCAUUAAGUAAACCUGGAGCAUGUGGACAUCAGCACAGACAGACACACAGACAUCCAGAUGUACCUACCCCCUUCGGCAGCCAGGAUCCAAAUCACCUCCAGCAGGAGAGUGAAGAACAACAUGGUGUCCCCGCAAGAAGCAGCUGCUGCUCCCGCCUCAAUUAAUUCCCUGCAGUAGCGGAGGAGGCAUUGCUCGGAGGAGGAAAUCCAAAACCCAACAAAAGCUUCAAGUCAUUUCUAAGGAACAUCUGCAAAAGUGAAAUGCAUCUGUUAAUGAGCUCGUAGAUCCUGCAUUCUUUCUACUGUUCUACUGUCCAACGCAUUUAUCAUUUUAGAUUUACCAGGAUGAGGAAGAGGAGGAAGAUGAGGAUUAAAACUCAUUUAUCUGGAAUAUUUUAUAGAAGUUCUUGAAUAAAACUUUGGAACCCCC